AGAGGCCCUCCGCGGCCAGGGUGGAAUGUUUGCCUCGUCGCUGCGGCAACAAAGCAAGCAUUCCGCCAGGCUGCUCAUGCUGCCCGC
Non-coding RNA from Myotis lucifugus (little brown bat), 87 nucleotides. The record is from Rfam. Lineage: Eukaryota; Metazoa; Chordata; Mammalia; Chiroptera; Vespertilionidae.